AAACACUGGAAGGACUUGGAAGGACACCUAUGCCAACCAAGCACACUCAGGGCUUGUAUCUGGCUGGUUACGGAUCUCAGAGAGGUAUCGUCAUUGACUUCCUGAACAUCUUCUCUGAGGGGUCCAACCGAGUGAGAUGCUUUGGGAUCUCACAGGUGCAGAAAGGAGCUGCAGGACCAGCAAGGCUCCCAGACAGCACACGGCUCUGGAUUGCACUGGAACAUCAUUUCUGACUGACACCAGAUGGCUCUGUCCUUCCAUAUCUCCAGAGGCAUCUCUCCUUCUGUUGUUUGGCCUAAGGAUGUUUGAGGUCUUCUGUUUUCUUCCCCAGAGUGAGUAUGUGGAGGGUGUUAGAGGCCAGAAAACAGGAAAGGUGGGUGAGGAGAGGCCAGGGAUGCAUUAGCAUCCUUGAAAUAUGUAGCUUUUAGCCUGGGGCUACAAUCACUGACUGACACAAGGGAAGCUGUUUUUUCCAUUUCAG
RNAcentral lists this long non-coding RNA (481 nucleotides) under Rattus norvegicus (Norway rat). Its description in RNAcentral is "long non-coding RNA NONRATT031760". The record is from RNAcentral. Lineage: Eukaryota; Metazoa; Chordata; Mammalia; Rodentia; Muridae.